AAUGUGUUGUUGUUCCUGCAUCGUCCGUUGAUGAA
Molecule: small RNA, 35 nt
Filed under: Arabidopsis thaliana (thale cress)
Lineage: Eukaryota; Viridiplantae; Streptophyta; Magnoliopsida; Brassicales; Brassicaceae
Description: ATSL169530
Source: RNAcentral